UACGUAGGGGGCAAGCGUUGUCCGGAAUCAUUGGGCGUAAAGAGCGUGUAGGCGGUCCUGUAAGUCCGCUGUGAAAGUCAAGGGCUCAACCCUUGAAUGCCGGUGGAUACUGCAGGGCUAGAGUCCGGAAGAGGCGAGUGGAAUUCCUGGUGUAGCGGUGAAAUGCGCAGAUAUCAGGAGGAACACCGAUGGCGAAGGCAGCUCGCUGGGACGGUACUGACGCUGAGGCGCGAAAGCGUGGGGAGCAAACAGG
RNAcentral lists this ribosomal RNA (253 nucleotides) under uncultured bacterium. Its description in RNAcentral is "partial 16S ribosomal RNA". It matches the Rfam family "Bacterial small subunit ribosomal RNA", at positions 524 to 776 of the family's 1533-position model. The record is from RNAcentral.